AACUUUCAAACUUGAGGUACGAAAACUUAGAAUGACUAAAAGGUCAGGUACUGUUGGGGCAAUUUUCCCAAAAAAUUAAUUAAAAUACAAAUGGACAAAAAUACCUUUCAAUAUAUUCCAUGUGACAAACGCCGUAACGGUCAAAUGGGUUCCAGGUACUUAUGUUAGGUCGGGGAGUGAGCGUCAAGUACUAAUCUGACAUGUUUUUAAGUUGAAGUACCAAAGUUACUGAUGGAAAGAAGGUCGGGUACGGUCCGCAUUUUACUUUAAUCUCGCCUAUUUAGGAGUUGAGACAUAUAUAGUAUCCGUACCUGUUGCAGUCAUCUCGUAUUGUAGGUUAUCUGUUUAACCUACCAAACUUUAUUUUAGUUUCUUAGUUUAGAUGGCUCUGAUCACCUUGGAGAUGUUAUCUAAAUUGCAGUAUUCUUUUUUAGGGUUUAUUACCCAAGGAUUUGAUGUAAUUUAAUUUGAGGAUCUUUUGUUGGAAUAUUGGUACUUGAGUUAUGAUUUUGUUUUGUUGGUUGUGGAGUUGUUUGGAUUGGGGAGCAUGGUGGCUCCAAGAGAAUAAGGUUCGAUUGUUAGAAGUGUAAAUGUGUUCUUACAGGUUUUCGGUUGCCUACUUUUAGGGGAGGUUCUGCCGAAUUUUUGGUAAAACCUUCUUUACAAUUGGGCCUUGCAGGCCACCACGGAUUUUGGGGUGAAAUUUCAAGGCGGGUCUUGUCAGAUUUGGUACAGUCGCAGAAGAGAAGAGGAGGUUUGGUGUCUCUAUUUUUUGAGAUUUUUGUUGGGCAGGUGGGUGAGGGAUUAAAUAUAUUAUGUGAAAUUAGCGAGGAUCUUAAGUGGAUCAUGAUGGAGUGAAUUGUACAAGGUCCCAGAAAGGAGAUCCCACAGUUCUUGGGAUCCCAUGUACAUUAGGGGCGGUGAUCUAUGAUAUCUAAUUACAACGAUAGUGUUAUUGGGUGUUUUCCCACCCGAUUUUUGAAGUGGACAAAGUUAUCUAAGUUAACUGGACCUGGAUUUUUGAUAGCGCCUGGUUCUCACAACAAAGACCAGAUGGCUAACUAGAUGAAUGGAUUGGUUGAUUGGGAGGUUUGGUUUUGGUUUAUGGCUUGGAAUUGAAAUUUGUCACAUCAAUCAAUAUGUCCAGUUCAAUUAUUCAAGGUGCAAUGAAGUCUUUGUUCUUGUUGGAGGGAGAUUAGUCGUACUAAUUAAUGGAUUACGUGGGUUAUGGGUUUGAGUGCGAGAAAAUUGAAGCAUGUUUGCAGGUGUGAAUGUUAGGUAAGUUUUGAAUUUACAUUUUGUGUAGGUGGGUGGUUGCGAGUGAGGUGGUUGAUGGUGACGCGUAUGGAGUGGAGGAGGUGAUUAGGGACUGGGCUUUUGGGAGGGCUAGCUUGUUUGGGAAUUGGAUGGUGGAGGAGAGGUGGAGAGAUAGAUAGAGAGAGAGAGAGAGAGAGAGAGAGAGAGAGAGAGAGAGAGAGAGAGAGAGAGAGAGAGAGAGAGAGAGAGAGAGAGAGAGAGAGAGUGUGUGUGUGUGUGUGUGUGUGUGUGUUGGUGGCCACCAUGGCCAUUAGGAGAAGCAAGUUGAGAUCCAUUGUGAAACCCAUUAAUUUUGAGUUUCCUUCUUCUUGAAUCAUGUGAGUUUGGGAGUUGCAGAUUGUGAGAGUGAUCCCAGAAAUUUGGGAUGUUCAGGAAGUAUGCAGAGGGAGUUGCCGAGAGAAAGAGAGGAAAAAAAAAUGCUUGAAGAAAUAAAAAAUGUAGAAAUGAUGGAAAAUGUCAUAUUAGAGUGUGAAAUGAUAAAAAGGUCACAUUGUUUCCUACUUGAUAAAAAGUUCCAUAAUGAAUUGUUAGUAAUAUUAAAUUUGUUCUUAUGAAUAAUGAGGCGAUAUUAAAAAAGGUCAGUUUUUAAUUUUUUUAUUCCGAUUCUGCCUUUAAAGUUAAUACACGUUUAUAACUAUGCAUUCAAAAUCACAGAGCUCAAGAUCAGUUGCUGACCUUGCUGUCCCACAGGUUGGCCACCUCCCCCCAAGAUCAGUUGAAGCAUUGGCAUUACUGCAUGGCCUUCGAUUCGCAGCUCAUGUUGGUUUCUCUCACAUUGAAAUUGAAGGUGAUGCACUCUCAGUUAUCAAUAGCCUACAUGAUAAUUCGGAAGAUUUGAGUUUUGAAGGUCAUUUAAUUGAUGAAGUUAAGUCUUUAAUUCAGUCUUUUUCUUUUUGUAGUUGCCAUUUUGUGAAACGGGAGGGGAACAAGGUUGCUCACCGUUUAGCAAAAGAGGCUUUAAAAGUUAGUCAACCGUUACUUUGUUUGGAGUCGGGGCCUAUUUGGCUCCAUCAGUCUGUCAGUAUGGAUUUCCAGUGUGAAGUCUAGUUGGGUCGAUUGUCUUGCGAUAGUAACCAUGUUGGUGCUCUUGCGGACUUUUGCUCCACAACUCAUUGUAAUUCAUUCAUUGUUAAUGAAGUUCCUAUUUGAUCAAAAAAAAAAAUCACAGAGCUCAAAUUUUCUGUCUCUUUUGAUCAGAAAGCUUGAUUCGAUUUUGAUCGGACAUUCUAUCUCCGAGUUUCUCUCUCCGCCGCCAGCUUCCGAUUGCGCUUCAUCUCUUUACGACGAUCUGAAAUCUCAGUUUUGAAUGGUUUUGGAGCUUCAAUCCACAUCUUUCUUCUCUUUUUCUCGAUCUUUGUCUUCGUCACUCUUCCCUUUGAUCACGUCACUUCUUCUUCUUCUUCUUCAUGUACUCAGUCCUUGGUUACAAAGAGGUUGAUUGAGACUAUGAGAUUGGAGGCAUAUGAGACUGUGACUUCAUCUGUAUCGCUCUUUCCCUGUUCAUGCAUGCACGCGCUUAGAUAUCCCGAUCGGUUUUCCGAUCCACGACUGGUACCGGAAUUUCGUCUUUAAUCCUGGAACGACAUUGUCAGUGUACAUGGCUCAGGAAAAGUAUUAUCAACGCUCUUUGUUCGGUAGCUAGCAUCUUCUCUAAUAGAUUUCAGGUUGGCCUAUUUUCAAAUUUGUUUCUUCAAUUUGUGGCUGUGUUUAUGAAGAGUUACUGAUGAGGGUGUGGACAACUGGAGGAUGUGAGCAUUGUUCAUCAGGUUCGUGAUCAGCAGGGCUAAUUCACUCCAGAAAGCUGGUAGUGAUGGUUUGGGGUUUGGGUGAGGAACUAGAUGGAGCCUACACUUUAUUCAGUUUUUUGCUAGAAAUUAGUUGUCUGAUGGUGGAUGAAAAUGAUAGCUGUAUUCAAUUCGAGCUGGUUCACCCAAAUGAGAUGAGAGGAAUAUAUGCAGUCUGUUUCUUCUUUCUGUGGAUUUGGCUCUCUAUUUCUAUCCCUUGCUGUUCAAUCUUUGAGCCGCCCUUGGGAUAGGUCUUAUUUUUGGAUAUGUGAUUAUAGAAGCUUAUCAAUGCAAUAUUAUGCAAGGCAGAUUAACUGAAAGUGAGAUUAAGAUAAGCCCUCGAAGCCUAUAUCUGUACAUAAAUUCAUUUAGAACACAGGUCAGUUUUGGAAUUAUUAGUAAUUCUAAUUCAAUCUACCUAAUGAAGAGUGAGAUACAAUUUGAAGGUUGCCUGUAUCCUAUUCAUUAUUUGAAGCAUUAACUAUCUGUAUUAAUUUGUUGAUGCAAUUCAGAAUGACAAGAUGGAGAGCGUUGGAUCCGAAACUGAGGCAUAUGCCAUUGCUAACAUGAUGAAAGUAUUAUUAGUUUUAAAGGUUUCAGCUGAAAAUGUGGUCCGAGCUGUGGAGGAGUCUGUGAGACAAGAACUUCUCAGUUCCAUUCAAUCUUCACCAGAUGCCACGGCAGCCCCACCUCCAAAACCCCAGGUUAAAAGAAACAAAGUAGUUAUAUCUAUUCAAGGCAAGGAUGGAGUCAAGCAGUACAUUUGUAUCUCAAGUACAUUUUUAUAGAUGGAAAUAAAGAGAGAAAUCACUAGAAUUUUGUUGGUGGUUGUACAUUUUUUUUGUUUGACGUAUGAUGAAUGCAAUGCAGCCGUUAGAACAUAUGCCUUGUAGUAUUUGUCCAACUUUAGGUGAGAAAUUCUUAUUAGUGGUUCUUAGUCUGGCAGUUAGACAAUACAACAUUAAUUGAUAGUCAUUGACUUGGCCAGUGACUUGAGAUUAACAGUGGCUUGGCCAAUAAUUUGCCUAUUGACUUGUGAUUAACAUUAAACUUGGCCAAUGACAUACAAUAUGACAUGACCAGUGACAAGUGACUUGGUCAAUCCAGUAUGAUAUGACCAGUGACUAGA
Long non-coding RNA from Rosa rugosa (rugosa rose), 4230 nucleotides. RefSeq lists it as uncharacterized. The transcript has 4 exons. Lineage: Eukaryota; Viridiplantae; Streptophyta; Magnoliopsida; Rosales; Rosaceae. The record is from RefSeq and is a predicted model, not a curated record.